Molecule: long non-coding RNA, 271 nt
Filed under: Phoenix dactylifera (date palm)
Lineage: Eukaryota; Viridiplantae; Streptophyta; Magnoliopsida; Arecales; Arecaceae
Description: long non-coding RNA (PDAC_LNC005127)
Source: RNAcentral
UCUUGGAAAAAGAUCAAGGGCUCCUAAUUUGUAGGAGCCCUAGAUACCUUUAAAAGGAGGCUUGGGCGGCACCUAGGGCAAGCAUUGAAGCCCUCCUCCUUGUGGUUGUACUCCCCCUCUUCCUCCCCUUGGUCUUCAGCCGCAAGCAAAAGAAAAGGAAGAAAGGUCUUGGCGGCCUCCUCCCUCUUCCCUUCCUUCAUCCAACGCAGGGGAAAGAAAAGGGCUGCAAGGUGCUUUGAUUCUUCUUCAAGUUUCAUCCUUCUUCUUCCUC